RNAcentral lists this ribosomal RNA (385 nucleotides) under uncultured bacterium. RNAcentral describes it as "bacterial SSU rRNA". It matches the Rfam family "Bacterial small subunit ribosomal RNA", at positions 29 to 419 of the family's 1533-position model. The record is from RNAcentral.
AGCGAACGCUAGCGGCGGGCCUAACACAUGCAAGUCGAGCGGGGAGCAAUCCCAGCGGCGAACGGGUGAGUAACACGUAGGUAAUGUGCCUUUUGGUGGGGAAUAACCGUGGGAAACCAUGGCUAAUACCGCAUAUCGUGCUUCGGCAUGAAAGCUUCUGAGGCAACUCGGGGGCGCCAGUUGAGCAGCCUGCGUCCCAUUAUUUAGUCCUAGUUGGUAGGGUAAUGGCCUACCAAGGGUACGAUGGGUAGCUGGUCUGAGAGGAUGAUCAGCCACACUGGAACUGAGACACGGUCCAGACUCCUACGGGAGGCAGCAGUGGGGAAUAUUGCGCAAUGGGGGGAAACCCUGACGCAGCCACGCCGCGUGAGUGAUGAAGGCCUUC